CUUUGACCUGAACGUCACCCCUAACCCUAUGCAGUAUUUGGAGCUCAUAAAAUACUGGAAGUGUUUAGGAGUAAUGCUCAGUUGUCAGAA
Caenorhabditis elegans is the source of this 90-nucleotide microRNA precursor. Lineage: Eukaryota; Metazoa; Nematoda; Chromadorea; Rhabditida; Rhabditidae. The record is from Ensembl.